Poecilia latipinna (sailfin molly) is the source of this 137-nucleotide long non-coding RNA. RefSeq lists it as uncharacterized. The record is from RefSeq and is a predicted model, not a curated record. The transcript has 3 exons. Lineage: Eukaryota; Metazoa; Chordata; Actinopteri; Cyprinodontiformes; Poeciliidae.
GGAUUUCCAGAGUUUAAGGAAUGAAGUCCAAUCCUUUCUGGGUGUGCCGGGAUGUGAGACUGUGGGCGCCUUCCAUGGUUGGUGGACCAGUUUACAGCUAAAACGUAACAUUGAAUCCUGUCAGGGUUUUCCAUCGG